GGGACAUUAAAGGACAAGAAGCCACACUUGUUAGGGACGUGAGGGAGCAUAAAAAAGCUGUGACAUGCUUUACAAUUUCUGAAUCAGGGAAUUGCCUGUUGAGUGGUUCUGCUGACAAAUCAAUAAAGAUCUGGCAAAUGUUUGAAAGAAAGCUUGAAUGUACAGAAACUAUACUGACCAAAGAUCCAAUUCAAAAUAUCAACACGCAUGGGGAACUAAUUUUUGCAGUUACCCAGAGCCACAAAAUGAAGGUGUUUGAUGGAUCACGGAAGGCCAGUAAAUAUUUCAAGAAUAAAUCCAUAAGGUGUGGAACAUUGAUAAACGGAAAGCUGUAUAUAGGCUGCACAGACUCAAGCAUACAGGAGUUAGCUAUACCAAACAGCAGGCAGCAAGAGAUCAAAGCACCAUCAAAGAGUUGGAGUAUGAAAAACAAGGCUGUGAACUCAUUAGCUGUAUAUAAGGACUGGUUAUACAGUGCAAGUUCAACAAUUGAAGCUUCACAUAUAAAGGACUGGAAAAAAAACAAGAAACCACAAAUAUCAAUGUCGCCAGAAAAGGGAGGCAAUGUGUUGGCAAUGGAAGUAGUGGAGGACUUCAUAUAUUUAAAUUGCAGUGUGUCAAUGAGCAACAUCCAGAUUUGGCUGAGAGGAACACAGCACAAAGUUGGAAGAUUAUCAGCAGGAAGCAAGAUAACAAGUCUUCUAACUGCAAAUGACAUAAUUAUAUGUGGUACAGAAACAGGAAUGAUUAAGGGUUGGAUCCCCCUGUAGUGGUAUAUUGCAGGUACAGGAUAAGUGUAGCAAAAACAUAGUACAGAAGGAAGAAGCAAUCUGAUUCCAUAUUAUGUAGAGAGAAGUGCAGUGUAAUUAUAUCAUUCUACUUCAAAUAAUUUUACAUGCUAAAUCAAUCUUAGAUGAAUGCUAUGC
This 926-nucleotide unclassified non-coding RNA is filed under the name Hevea brasiliensis (rubber tree). The record is from RNAcentral. Lineage: Eukaryota; Viridiplantae; Streptophyta; Magnoliopsida; Malpighiales; Euphorbiaceae.